CCGUCCCCGGUUCACGGCUGCUGUCCAGGCAGGCGACCCGGGGGC
Molecule: regulatory RNA element, 45 nt
Organism: Oerskovia sp. Root918
Lineage: Bacteria; Bacillati; Actinomycetota; Actinomycetes; Micrococcales; Cellulomonadaceae
Rfam family: L31-Actinobacteria ribosomal protein leader
Source: Rfam